GACGUAGGGGGCCAGCGUUGUUCGGAAUUACUGGGUGUAAAGGGCGCGUAGGCGGCCUUCUAAGUCAGACGUGAAAUCCCCCGGCUUAACCUGGGAACUGCGUCUGAUACUGGGAGGCUUGAGUAUGGGAGAGGGAUGUAGAAUUCCAGGUGUAGCGGUGAAAUGCGUAGAUAUCUGGAGGAAUACCGGUGGCGAAGGCGGCAUCCUGGACCAUUACUGACGCUGAGGCGCGAAAGCUAGGGGAGCAAACGGG
This 253-nucleotide ribosomal RNA is filed under the name uncultured bacterium. RNAcentral describes it as "partial 16S ribosomal RNA". It matches the Rfam family "Bacterial small subunit ribosomal RNA", at positions 524 to 776 of the family's 1533-position model. The record is from RNAcentral.